RNAcentral lists this ribosomal RNA (446 nucleotides) under uncultured bacterium. Its description in RNAcentral is "partial 16S ribosomal RNA". It matches the Rfam family "Bacterial small subunit ribosomal RNA", at positions 331 to 793 of the family's 1533-position model. The record is from RNAcentral.
CCAGACUCCUACGGGAGGCAGCAGUGGGGGAUAUUGCACAAUGGGGGGAACCCUGAUGCAGCGACGCCGCGUGGGUGAAGAAGUAUUUCGGUAUGUAAAGCCCUAUCAGCAGGGAAGAAGAAUGACGGUACCUGACUAAGAAGCACCGGCUAAAUACGUGCCAGCAGCCGCGGUAAUACGUAUGGUGCAAGCGUUAUCCGGAUUUACUGGGUGUAAAGGGAGCGCAGGCGGUUCUGCAAGUCUGAUGUGGAAGCCCGGGGCUCAACCGCGGGACUGCAUUGGAAACUGCAGGACUGGAGUGUCGGAGGGGUAAGCGGAAUUCCUGGUGUAGCGGUGAAAUGCGCAGAUAUCAGGAAGAACACCGGUGGCGUAGGCGGCUUACUGGACGGCAACUGACGCUGAGGCUCGAAAGCGUGGGGAGCAAACAGGAUUAGAUACCCGAGUAA